UGGCGGCGUGCCUAACACAUGCAAGUCGAGCGAGGAGAUCCUUCGGGAUGAUCCUAGCGGCGGACGGGUGAGUAACACGUGGGCAACCUGCCUCAUAGAGAGGAAUAGCCUUCCGAAAGGGAGAUUAAUACCUCAUAACAUUGCAGUUUCGCAUGGAACAGCAAUUAAAGGAGCAAUCCGCUAUGAGAUGGGCCCGCGGCGCAUUAGCUAGUUGGUGAGGUAACGGCUCACCAAGGCGACGAUGCGUAGCCGACCUGAGAGGGUGAUCGGCCACAUUGGGACUGAGACACGGCCCAGACUCCUACGGGAGGCAGCAGUGGGGAAUAUUGCACAAUGGGGGAAACCCUGAUGCAAGCAACGCCGCGUGAGUGAUGACGGCCUUCGGGUUGUAAAGCUCUGUCUUCAGGGAUGAUAAUGACGGUACCUGAGGAGGAAGCCACGGCUAACUACGUGCCAGCCGCCGC
Molecule: ribosomal RNA, 464 nt
Filed under: uncultured bacterium
Lineage: Bacteria
Description: bacterial SSU rRNA
Rfam family: Bacterial small subunit ribosomal RNA
Source: RNAcentral